This 409-nucleotide long non-coding RNA is filed under the name Sorghum bicolor (sorghum). RNAcentral describes it as "long non-coding RNA (SBIC_LNC017972)". The record is from RNAcentral. Lineage: Eukaryota; Viridiplantae; Streptophyta; Magnoliopsida; Poales; Poaceae.
UGGUAUGAAUAAUAUUCAAUCUUCUUCCAUGAGCAAGUCGUAUUCAUCUUUAUAUGAUUAUGCAUAUGAACUAGAGUAUAUAUGGUUGUGUUCUUUUCAUGUUCAUAGUAUAUGAACUAGUUCUUAGUUCUUGUGCUAUGUUCUUGAUAUGUUCAUCAUUGUUCUUCAUUGUUCAUCAGAUUAGUAUGAUUAGGAUUAGAAUUAGGAAUGGGAUGAUGGUUCACUAUGCUGUGAUGGUUGCUCUUAGCCUAGCCUGUCACUCCAAAGGGGUGGGGCCCACGGGGGUUAGGAGUUGUUUCCAAUUACGUGAACAAGGUGUUCAGGUAUGCGGGAAUCUGUGGAUGUGCGGGUAUCUUUCGGGUAGAGUGGUAGGUGGCUGGGUAGUGACAACUCUGUCAUCCUUUGCAUU